This 253-nucleotide ribosomal RNA is filed under the name uncultured bacterium. RNAcentral's name for it is "partial 16S ribosomal RNA". It matches the Rfam family "Bacterial small subunit ribosomal RNA", at positions 524 to 776 of the family's 1533-position model. The record is from RNAcentral.
UACGUAGGGGGCAAGCGUUGUCCGGAUUUAUUGGGCGUAAAGAGCGUGUAGGCUGCCAAGCAGGUCCGCUGUGAAAACUCGAGGCUCAACCUCGAGACGUCGGUGGAAACCGUUUGGCUAGAGUCCGGAAGAGGAGAGUGGAAUUCCCGGUGUAGCGGUGAAAUGCGCAGAUAUCGGGAAGAACACCCGUGGCGAAGGCGGCUCUCUGGGACGGUACUGACGCUGAGACGCGAAAGCGUGGGGAGCGAACAGG